UACGAAGGGGGCUAGCGUUGCUCGGAAUCACUGGGCGUAAAGCGCACGUAGGCGGACUCUUAAGUCGGUGGUGAAAUCCUGGAGCUCAACUCCAGAACUGCCUUCGAUACUGAGAGUCUUGAGUCCGGGAGAGGUGAGUGGAACUGCGAGUGUAGAGGUGAAAUUUGUAGAUAUUCGCAAGAACACCAGUGGCGAAGGCGGCUCACUGGCCCGGUACUGACGCUGAGGUGCGAAAGCGUGGGGAGCGAACAGG
This 253-nucleotide ribosomal RNA is filed under the name uncultured bacterium. RNAcentral's name for it is "partial 16S ribosomal RNA". It matches the Rfam family "Bacterial small subunit ribosomal RNA", at positions 524 to 776 of the family's 1533-position model. The record is from RNAcentral.